RNAcentral lists this ribosomal RNA (92 nucleotides) under Sphingomonadales bacterium 32-68-7. RNAcentral's name for it is "partial 16S ribosomal RNA". It matches the Rfam family "Bacterial small subunit ribosomal RNA", at positions 1 to 102 of the family's 1533-position model. The record is from RNAcentral. Lineage: Bacteria; Pseudomonadati; Pseudomonadota; Alphaproteobacteria; Sphingomonadales.
CAAACUUGAGAGUUUGAUCCUGGCUCAGAACGAACGCUGGCGGCAUGCCUAACACAUGCAAGUCGAACGAGACCUUCGGGUCUAGUGGCGCA